Molecule: ribosomal RNA, 409 nt
Filed under: uncultured bacterium
Lineage: Bacteria
Description: bacterial SSU rRNA
Rfam family: Bacterial small subunit ribosomal RNA
Source: RNAcentral
GUGGCAGCCGCCGCGGUAAUACGGAGGGUGCAAGCGUUAUCCGGAUUCAUUGGGUUUAAAGGGUGCGCAGGCGGAUACUUAAGUCAGUGGUGAAAUCCCGGGGCUCAACCCCGGAACUGCCAUUGAUACUGAAUAUCUGGAAUACGGUUGAAGUGGGCGGAAUGUAGCAUGUAGCGGUGAAAUGCAUAGAGAUGCUACAGAAUACCGAUCGCGAAGGCAGCUCACUAAGCCGAUAUUGACGCUCAGGCACGAAAGCGUGGGGAGCGAACAGGAUUAGAUACCCUGGUAGUCCACGCCGUAAACGAUGAUAACUCGUUGUUGGCGACACACAGUCAGCGACUAAGCGAAAGCGAUAAGUUAUCCACCUGGGGAGUACGAUCGCAAGGUUGAAACUUAAAUGAAUUGGCGG